This 201-nucleotide long non-coding RNA is filed under the name Lathyrus oleraceus (garden pea). RNAcentral's name for it is "Pisum sativum (pea) long non-coding RNA (PSAT_LNC042235)". Lineage: Eukaryota; Viridiplantae; Streptophyta; Magnoliopsida; Fabales; Fabaceae. The record is from RNAcentral.
UUUUUUCGUUUUAAGUUUGGAAUUUAUAAUUUUGCUCGAAGUGCAAAAGUGCAAGUGUGGGGGAAUUUGAUCACUGCAUUUUGAUAUACAUUCUUCUACUAUUAUACUUAGGCAACUUUAUAGUUUAAUAUAUUAUUUUUACUAUUUUUGUGUGUUUUUAUAUUUAAAUUUAUUUUUUCCUUUAUUUUAUUUUCGUACUUU